GAGGGUAUAGCUCAGUGGUAGAGUGCCUGCCUAAAAUGCACAAGGUCCUUGUUUCAAUCCCCAGUACCUCCA
Molecule: transfer RNA, 72 nt
Filed under: Camelus dromedarius (Arabian camel)
Lineage: Eukaryota; Metazoa; Chordata; Mammalia; Artiodactyla; Camelidae
Also listed under: 1 other name
Rfam family: tRNA
About the family: Transfer RNA (tRNA) molecules are approximately 80 nucleotides in length. Their secondary structure includes four short double-helical elements and three loops (D, anti-codon, and T loops).
Source: Rfam by way of RNAcentral